Molecule: long non-coding RNA, 352 nt
Organism: Triplophysa dalaica
Lineage: Eukaryota; Metazoa; Chordata; Actinopteri; Cypriniformes; Nemacheilidae
Exons: 4
Source: RefSeq, a predicted model, not a curated record
AUGACUUGUGAUUUGUUGUGUGUUUAGUGUGGAAUGAGACUCUUGGAACACAAAAUCCUGAAGAUUUGAAGGAAAUGACAUCAUCAUCGUCUCAGAUGUGUUGCUCUGGAUGCUGGCUGCUCUUCUUUGCGUCGUUGGCUUCAUUGUUGUGCUGUUGGUCAGUUUCAUCAUUCUAAAUCAGAGGUUUCAUCUCUCGCUGCACAAACACCAUCUGUCCAGGACGAUUUUCCAGGAUCUGAAAGAAAAAAAAUCCCUACUCCUUUCUCUCUCUCUCUUUCUCUCUCUCUCUCUGUGUCUCACUCUCUCUCUCAAACUCUCUCUCUCCCUCUCCCCUAAAAGUGUCUGAUAAAUG